This 1820-nucleotide ribosomal RNA is filed under the name human gut metagenome. RNAcentral describes it as "bacterial LSU rRNA". It matches the Rfam family "Bacterial large subunit ribosomal RNA", at positions 699 to 2596 of the family's 2925-position model. The record is from RNAcentral.
GUUCGUUGCCAUAGACCCGAAACCGGGUGACCUACCCAUGAGCAGGUUGAAGUGGGGGUGAAACCCCAUGGAGGACCGAACCGACCCCCGUUGCAAUGGUGGCGGAUGACUUGUGGAUAGCGGAGAAAUUCCAAUCGAACUCGGAGAUAGCUGGUUCUCCCCGAAAUAGCUUUAGGGCUAGCGUUAUCUUAGAUUACCGGAGGUAAAGCACUGAAUGGGCUAGGGGGCGAUAAGCUUACUGAACCCUAUCAAACUCUGAAUGCCGGCUAAUUGAUGAUCAGCAGUCAGACAGUGUGAGAUAAGUUUCAUUGUCAAAAGGGAAACAGCCCAGACCCACAGCUAAGGUCCCUAAUGUAUGCUAAGUGGAAAACGAUGUGGAAUUGCGAAAACAACCAGGAUGUUGGCUUAGAAGCAGCCACUCAUUAAAAGAGUGCGUAAUAGCUCACUGGUCGAGUGACUCUGCGCGGAAAAUAUAACGGGGCUAAGCAUACAACCGAAGCUUGGGAUUGUCUAAAGACAGUGGUAGGGGAGCGUCGUGUAUGGGGUGAAGUCGCAUCGGAAGGAGCGGUGGACUGUACACGAGUGAGAAUGCCGGAAUGAGUAGCGAGAAUUAUGUGGGAAUCAUAAUGGCCGAAAAUCUAAGGUUUCUUGGGGAAGGUUCGUCCGCCCAAGGUAAGCCGGGAGCUAAGGCGAGGCCGCAAGGCGUAGUCGAUGCACAUACGGUAAAGAUUCCGUAGCCGCCGAACUUUAAGUCAGAGGGACACUUGCAGAUAGCGGAACCCAGCCGUUGGUUGAGCUGGGCGAAAGGGACUGAAAUUAGUAGGGAAGUCCGCGAUGCUGAAAGGCGAGAAAAGCUCUGAUGGAUACUAAGGCGCCCGUACCGCAAACCGACACAGGUAGAUGAGGAGAGAAUCCUAAGGCCAACGGGAGAAGGGUUGUUAAGGAACUCGGCAAAUUGACCCCGUAACUUCGGAAGAAGGGGAGCCCCGAAAGGGGCCGCAGUGAAUAGGCCCAAGCAACUGUUUACCAAAAACACAGGUUUAUGCUAAAUCGAAAGAUGACGUAUAUGAGCUGACGCCUGCCCGGUGCCGGAAGGUUAAGAGGAGAGCUUAGAGGCAACUCGAAGGUUUGAAUUGAAGCCCCGGUAAACGGCGGCCGUAACUAUAACGGUCCUAAGGUAGCGAAAUUCCUUGUCAGGUAAGUUCUGACCCGCACGAAUGGCGUAAUGAUCUGGGCACUGUCUCGACAGCCCACCCGGCGAAAUUGUAGUACUGGUGAAGAUGCCAGUUACCCGCAACUAGACGGAAAGACCCCAUGGAGCUUUACUGCAGUUUAAUACUGGGAAUCGGUAAUUCAUGUACAGGAUAGGUGGGAGACUGAGAAGCAUGGCCGUCAGGUCGUGUGGAGUCACCGGUGGGAUACCACUCUUGGAUUGCUGGUUUCCUAACCUGCGGCCCUGAAUCGGGUCGGGGGACACUGUUAGACGGGCAGUUUGACUGGGGCGGUCGCCUCCAAAAGAGUAACGGAGGCGCUCAAAGGUUCGUUCAGCACGGACGGAAAUCGUGCAUUGAGUGUAAACGCAUAAACGAGCCUAACUGCGAGACCGACGGGUCGAGCAGUAACGAAAGUUGGAGUUAGUGAUCCGGUGGUAUGUGAGUGGAAAUGCCAUCGCUCAACGGAUAAAAGCUACCCUGGGGAUAACAGGCUGAUCUCCCCCAAGCGUCCACAGCGACGGGGAGGUUUGGCACCUCGAUGUCGGCUCGUCGCAUCCUGGGGCUGUAUUCGGUCCCAAGGGUUUGGCUGUUCGCCAAUUAAAGCGG